CAGUCUCGAUGGGACGCAGGAAUAAAACGCAGAGUGAAAAAGCAUCGUUGAAAAAAUCUGUUCUCGCCUAUGAAAUAUCCGGGCUUAAAUUAACGCGCCUAACCUCGGUCUCGAAUCCAGAGUACCUGCAUUGUCAUUUGUUUAUUCACUAAUGAGCGACAAAAUGGCGUCAGCUUGUACGAGAGCGGUUAAAAAAAGCUAUGCACUCCUCGCUUAACUAGCAAUUAUUAAAAUUGGUUCACUUUGGCUUGGAUACAAAUUGAUCAUUAAUGAAGAACCCACUCCCGUACCUCUUCAAAUCUGUGUGGUAACUGCGUCGGUGAAACUUAAAUGCAUUGAAAAAUGGCGUCAGAUAGUUCCAGCCUUCGUUAUACCUGUGUUGUGCGGAACAGCUCUUCACUUUUUGCAACAUGUCAAUAGGAAAAAUAAUGCGCCGAGAGUUUUUAUAGUUGGAGCCGGCUUGUCUACUAAAAGCAUAGCCUCAACCAAACCAUAUCUCCUUGUUUAUAUGAAUAGUCAUGAAUCGACGUGUGUAUGCAUACACGCGAUACGAUCAUUACCAUGUGUAUUUAUAUCGUGAUCACUGUUUCACGAAUAGCUUGAAGAUGUUUUGCGCAAGUUACGUCGGUAAUAUCAAGCCAGGACUCGUGACGGGGAAGUUUCAGGCUACUGAAUGCAAUUACUUGUUGAAUUCAAAUAUGGAGUUGUAGAUUGAUUACGAAACUCAAGCAUGCAUGAAAAUGGCCACGGCAUCACUUGCAAAUGGCAUCAAAAUGGUGUAAAAUUCGAAAAUAAAUCAAAUUUCUUCUCAACUAUUGGAUCUAGUAAUAAAAAUUUGCACACUCAAUCAUAAAAGAAAUUUAAUUUUCGGAAAUCCAUAUUUCAUACUAUGUUUCCAGUAGCGUUAUCCGCAAAAUGCUACAGUGUGGCGAAAUAGUAAGACGUACUAGGAUGCAUUUCAAGCCAUACGGCUUAAUAUGUAUUUGCGAAACAAAGAUCGAAAUAGCAUUCAAUUUGUGUUUCGGAACAGUUUCUCUGCAGAAUCUCAAAUGGCACGCAUGAACUAAUAUUUUGCGUCUUUGGAAUUUAUUUGCUCAGACCUGAUCCAGGGAAUUAUAUGCUGGAGCAUGUUGGUCUUAUCGGAGCACACGUAACGCACCCUUGGUCGUCGGGCCGAUUAGAGAUGUAGACAAUUAGCGGACAGAAGAACGAUCAAUGUUGACCUUUUUUUAAUCCCCUUUCUUCACUUCAUAGUUCAAUGAAAUGCAAUGUUGUAAUUCAAUAGUUCCCAUAGUCAGACUGUCGAAUAUUUGAAUAAUUAUAGUGUAUUCCACAUGUAUUAGGGUGUCUCAUUUUAUCUUGUAUUCAGGGCUAUUUUGAAAGAUCUCUAUUGAAUUCAUUUUAAAUCCCUUAAUGACCUAGUUCAAGGUAAUUAACAAAUUCCUUUGAUAUAGGUAAUGCCACAGGCCAUCAAUUAUGUCAUUAGUCUGCCACCUAUUCUACCUUAAUUUAUAAUGAUAUUCAAAGAGUACACAUACUUAUAUUAAAAACUCAAUAGGUUGAUGCCAAUCAGCCUGUUAUAUUCAUCAUUCAAAAUUUAUUUCGUUUCCAGGAAUCAUGCUUGAAAAAGGAAAAUAAAAUCAGAAUACACAAAUACGAUAGAAUAAUAAUAUUGGAAUAGGUACUGUCACAGUCUUAUGUCAAAAUUAACGAUAUUGCAAUGACUUUCACACUAAAACGGAAUUGGAACAAUAUGAUGAUUGUUAAAGUUACAGGUUAUUUUUAAAAAUGUGUAUAAGAACAUGAAAAUAUAUUCACUGCUGUGGUAUUUUUCUAAAUUCUUCCUCAUGUAAGCAUCCUUUCACCUAACAUUACUGUUCGAUACAGACUACAAUAACCUUCAGCUAGCGUGCAGUGUUAUGGAACAAAGGACUCGAGUUCAAAUCACUAGCGAAUCAAGGAAGACCUGAGCAACAGCCUGCAAAAUAUAUACGACAUGGCAGGUUGUUCAGAUGCUGAAUCGACAAGGUGAAUUUUGAACUCAGUCUGGCUGCACCUGGGCUAGGUUUGCUGCAGUUUUUCUUUCCCCCCAGUGUUAAAAGAAGACGUUAAUAUAGGCAAUAGCAAUAACAAUUGCUAAUAAUUUUAAAGAAAUGUAACGCAGGAUGCUUUGGGGAGAAAUUUGAAUCUUUUCA
Molecule: long non-coding RNA, 2195 nt
Organism: Neodiprion virginianus
Lineage: Eukaryota; Metazoa; Arthropoda; Insecta; Hymenoptera; Diprionidae
Exons: 3
Source: RefSeq, a predicted model, not a curated record